GGGCUAGUGGUCUAGUGGUUAUGACGUCGCGCUUACAACGCGGAGGUCGCCGGUUCAAUUCCGGCCUAGCCCA
RNAcentral lists this transfer RNA (73 nucleotides) under Thermoplasmata archaeon. Its description in RNAcentral is "tRNA-Val". It matches the Rfam family "tRNA". Rfam says of the family: Transfer RNA (tRNA) molecules are approximately 80 nucleotides in length. Their secondary structure includes four short double-helical elements and three loops (D, anti-codon, and T loops). The record is from RNAcentral. RNAcentral also lists the same sequence under 2 other names. Lineage: Archaea; Methanobacteriati; Thermoplasmatota; Thermoplasmata.